GUGUUGGACUGGAUAAUCUUGGAGUGGGUAUAACCAUCAGAGGCAUUUUCUUCUUCAAAACAACACCAAACUUCUCUGUAAGGUCUAAUAUCUCUCCUUCGGGCAACUUCCAGUCGAAAGAAUGAACGAGUGAAGCCAGUGAAUACAUGAACAUCCUCUCACCCAUGGCUAUCCCCACACAAAUUCUUCUGCCAGAACCAAAUGGAAAGUAGUUGAAAUCAUUUCCACUAUAGUCCCAUUUAUUGCCCAAAAAUCUUUCCGGAUGGAAUUCAGUUGGAUUUUCCCAGAUAGAAGGAUCUCUCUGCAUAGCCCAUACAUUUACAUAAACACGAGAUCCUUUAGGAACAGUGUAUCCUCCCACAGUGCAUGUCUCACUAGGACAAUGUCGCGAUAAGAGUGGAAGAGUUGGAUGUAAGCGCAAGACUUCUUUCAUAACUGCAUAGAGAUACGGUAAUUGUUGAAUAUGAGACUCUUCAACAAUAUUAUCUUUUCCCACAACUCUCUCUAGUUCUUGUUGUAAUUUCCUCAGGACAUAUGGUUUGUUCAUAAUUUCAGCCAUGGCAAACUCAACUGUGUUGGAGGUUGUGUCGGUUCCACCAAUAACCAUAUCCUGUUCAUAGUAUUUGUGAAGUUCAACAAUUUUUUUAUUUGCAGAACUGUCUAUGGGAGCUCAAUUCAAGGUUCACAGUUAAGUUUACACAUAUUAUCUGAUGCUAAAUUUGCCGACUCUUUCCUUUAUGCAGUCCAAUAACAAGUUAGCAACUAACAGUUCAGGACAUGAAUAUAUGAAUCUGAUAUAUCUAAUAUUUAUAACUCAUUUUCCACAAUAAUUCUUCAAUAGCAUUUGAUCCUUUUACUAUGACUAAAUUGUCACUAUAAUCUAUAACAUGUAAGGAAAUAGACUAUUUCAAGUAAAAUGCAAAACUAUGAAACCAGAACCACACCUAAGAACGUGAAUUUUCCAGGCAGAAAAAUGCAACCAACAGUCAGGACAUUAGUUUACGAAUCUGAUUCUUCUGAAAUGUAUUCCCUAUAUGCCACAAUAAUUCUUCUAUGAAUUUACAAUCCCGUUAUCUAUUUCAUUUGAUUUUGAUGCUUUUAUUAUACAACAACAACAAACCCAGUGUAUUCCCACUUUGUGGGGUCUGGGGGGGGUAAGAUGUACGCAGUCCAUCACGGACAGUGUACUGUGUAAGCUAAUAGUUAAUCCAUAUAGAUAAGGAAAAAAUGGUUGAAGACAAAUGCAAUCUUGGCUACUCAAUAAUAAUGUAGUGAUGACUAAGGAGAGGACGAUUUCUUUUUGGUUCAUUUGAAAAAUACAUAUUUAGAAGGAAACAAUCAUAGUAGCAUCCACUGAAAUUAACAGAUUUAUCGUGUCGUAGAAUGCACAACUGAUAAAACAUACCAUAAGUAAUGCUUUGAGUUCAGUCAUAGACAGAGGCAUUUUGGUAUCUGCUUCAUCUUUCAACUUCAGCAAAACUUGCAAAAAGUCCUUGCUUUCUCGGCCAACAAAAGUUCCCAUCUCACCAUUUCUAUCCAAUUCUUUUCUUUGAUCAAUCACGCUCUCAAAUAUCUUAUCAAAUCUCUUUGACAACACCUUCAUCUUCUUUGUAAGACCCUGCAAAUCAAACCAGUCCAAGCCCGGGUAAAAAUCAGAAAGAUUGGGCAUGCCAAGCAGCUCAGUCAUCUCAGUCACAACAUGCCUAAACUCAGCUCCAAGAGUAGCUCUUUCCUCAACCUUCACUGUGUCACCCCAUAUCAUGCUUGUAAUCACAUUAAGCAUUGUCAAGAACAUCUGUUCACCAACAUUCACAGGCGAUCCUGACUGAUUAUAGAAGCAAUUGAUUGAUUCUCUAAGCUCUUGUCGCCUUAGUCCACAAACAGAAUCUAAAGCAGAACCAUUAAGCAUAUCGCGAACACAAACCUUCCUCAACAUGCGCCAUUUCGGUCCGUAAGGAGUCCAAACUAUGUCUUUGCCACCAUAUGAAGAUUCUCUAGCAGCAGCAGGCAUAUCUCUGUUAGCAAAAAGGGUAUCUUGAUCCUUAAGCACCUCACGAGCUAAGGAAGGAGAAGUAAUAAUAAUCCCAAUUUUUUUUCCAAGCCAGAGUCUACAAAUGGGCCCAUAAGUUUGCGAAAGAGAUGCAAAAUAGGUGUGGAGUUCAGGAUCAAGAGAAUGGAGAUUACCUAUCAAGGGAAAAGCUUUAGGCCCGGGUGGCAAUGGCGGCACUCCCUUGUUUGAGUUACUGAUGAGAAAUGAAACAAACCAUAGUACAGCUAAAAUACCAAGAAAAUAGGUGAAAAAUACACCAUUUUUCUCCAUAUUGGAUUCAUGCAGGGGCAUUGCGAAAGAAUCAAACAGAGGUUUGAAGAAUUUGAGUGACAUUAUUUGAACCUAAGAGGGUAAUGGAAAAUGCCAGAAGCAAUGUGGUGUGAAGCUUUUGCACCACUUAAGUUUUCGAGCAACAUAGGAUAAGACAAAAGCAGCUGAAUGCAAAUGCAACCUUGUCUACUCAAAAUAAUGCAAUAGUCACCAUAAAUGGUUUGAACUUUGAACUGUCAUAAAGGGAAGGUUGUUUGUUCCCCAUAUUUGAACACCUUAGAAGUUAGAAAGGACCAACCAAUAUUACAUCAUAAGAAAGACAAUUACCUGAAGAACAAAUAUAUGUUGGGUAAGACCAAAAGUGACUCUUGAAAGGCUACAGAAUAACAAUAUGAAUAUGAACAUACCUCCCCAACACAACUGUUGGUUCCAAUUUGUUUUUCCAGAGUCAUUGUAGACAAAAUAAACUAACGGAAUAAUUAUAUAUAACCUCCCCUCAAAUUUGGCUACAUCACAGUUACUUUUGUUGUUUUGUGAUAUUACUAGUUUAGGUGUACGUGUAGCUCACUUUAUUGAGUUCAAACGUUAGAAUAUUUGUUUAAAAAAUAAAGAUGAAUACAAUAAUUAAAUUCAACAUCUUUUGGAGAAUCUAUUUAAUUAAACUUUACUUUUACCAAAAAAAAAAUCUCAAAGCUGAUCGACAUUUAUCUACCACCUGUAAACUGCAACAAAACAAUAUGAUGAUAGAGUCAUCAAAACAAUAUAAUUAAAUCUAACCUUCGCACAAAAAUUUCUUCAAAGUCGUCUGACACUCAUCUAUAAUCUGUAAACUAUAACAAAAUAAUACCAUAAUAGAGAUAUCAAAUAAUACAACUAAACUUUACCUUUACACAAAAAAAAAUCUCAAAAUAGGGAUAUAAAAACAAUACAAUUAAACAUAACCUUUACUUAAAAAAAUUUCUCAAAGUCGACCGACAUUCAUCCACAAUAGAGAUAUCAAAUAAUACAACUAAACUUUAUCUUUACACCAAAAAAAAAUCUCAAAAUAGGGAUAUAAAAACAAUACAAUUAAACAUAACCUUUACUUAAAAAAAUUCUUCAAAGCCGACCGACAUUCAUCUACUACCUGUAAAUUCAUCUACGGCCUAUAAACUACAACAAAAUAAUACAAUAGUGAUCACAAAGCUUAAUUUUGUAGAAAUAAUUCUUGUCCGAGAAAAAAUUUUGACACUAAAGAAUAACUUAAAUGAAAACAAAGAAGAUAUAUAUAUAUAUAUAUAUAUAUACACGUUGAAUUCUAUUAUGUUGAUAAAAAUAAUCUAGUAAAAAAAAUUACAACAACUAAUGCCUUGUUAAAAUAGGUAAGAAAAAUUAAUUUACCUAAAUUAAAGAAUAUUACAUGAGUUUAUACCUAAACUAAUUUUAUUCGUAACAAAUCCUACGUUUAAAAGGACUCAUAAAUUAAAUUAGUUACCCUAAUAAAAUUAAAUAAUAAUUUAAAAAAAUAGUGAAGGGUAAAAAGUUUAAAUCACUUUUAUAAGGGUUUUCACAUGUUUUAUAUAUUAUAGAUAUAGAUUAUAGACAUAGAUAUAGAUUAUAAAUAUAAAUUAUAGAUUAUAGAUAUAAAUAAUAGAUUAAUGAAAUGGCCUUCAGUAUAUUUAGGAUUGAUUUUUAAUAUCGUAGUUAAAAAAAAAAUUAAUAUGGUUGGUCUUUAUUAUUAUUCCACAUAUUAUUUAUUAGUAUUAAAAUAAUAUGAGUUCCAAAUAAACUAAACUUUACUUAUAGGAAUUUUAGUCUUUUUUUCCUUUUCUUUUCUAGACACUAACGUUCCAUUUUUAAUUUGGUUCAAUUUUGUAUUAAACUUUACUAAUCUGAAUUUUAGCUUUCUUUUUCCUUUCUAAUUUUGUACGUUAAAUUGGGUUUUAAAUUUGGUUCUAUUUUGUCCUUUCUUUUUUUUAUUUCAAUUCAAGUAAUGAAAUAGAAAGUCCUAUUUUAAGAGUAUUUUUCUAUCCUAUUUUAGCAAAAAUAUUAAUUGAUUUUUCUUCCAUAUAUUUUAGGAGUCCCAUAUAUUUUAAGAGUCUAGUUAAUAUAAUAAAAAUAGUUAAAUAAUAAAUUAGAAAAAUAGUGAAAAGACAAUUUUAUCUAAAGGAGUCUUUUAAUUUAGGACAAAAAAUUCAAAUCACUUUUUUAGAGCCUUCACACUUUUAAUAUAUUAUAGAUUAUAGAUAUAGAUGUUUUCCUUUUUAUUUUAAUUUUCUUUUUACCGAUUGUUUUGACCUAAUUAUUAUUAAUACAAAAAUAAAUGAUUUAACUAAUUGUUUAUUUUAUUUUGUAAACACGCUUUCUUCAAGCAAAUAUUGACAAGAGAACAAAGAAAACACCCUUUUCAUAUUUAUUCUUCAUGUGUAUAAACUGUAUAGAAAACUUUGAAUCAAUUUCAAAGGGGAUUCCAUUUUCAUGGAACACAUUUCCAUAGUUCAUCAUGUAAAACCAAAUCGUCAUGCAGAACGCAGCUCUCGACAGAUACAUUUUUAUCUUACUCAUACAGUGUUGGAUUGGAUAAUGUUGGAGUAGGUAUAGCCACCAGAGGCAUUUUCUUCUUCAGAACAAUCCCAAACUUCUCUGUAAGGUCUAAUGCCUCUCCUUCAGGCAACUUCCAGUCGAAAGAAUGAACAAGUGAAGCCAGUGAAUACAUAAACAUCCUCUCUGCCAUGGCUAUUCCCGCACAGAUUCUUCUGCCAGAACCAAAUGGAAAGUAGUUGAAAUCAUUUCCACUAUAGUCCCAUUUAUUGUCCAAAAAUCUCUCUGGGUGGAAAUCAGUUGGAUUUUUCCAGAUAGAAGGAUCUCUCUGUAUAGCCCAUACGUUUACGAACACACGAGAUCCUUUAGGAACAGUGAAUCCUCCCACGGUACGCGUCUCACUAGGACAAUGAGGAACCAAGAGUGGGAGCGCUGGAUGUAGACGCAAGACUUCUUUCAUAACCGCAUAGAAAUAUGGUAACUGUUGAAUAUGAGAUUCUUCCACUAUGUUAUCUUUUCCCACAACUGUAUCUAGUUCUUCUUGUAAUUUGCUCAGGACAUCUGGUUUGUUCAUAAUUUCAGCCAUGGCAAACUCAACCAUGUUCGAGGUUGUUUCAGUUCCACCGACAACCAUAUCCUGCUCACGGUCUUUGUAAAGUUAUUAUCAUGUGUAACAAAAUUCAGACUUGUAGAACAGUAUAUUAGAGUUUAGUUUACGGUUCACAGUUAAGUCUUUACAUAUUAUCGGAUGCUAAAUUUGUUGAUUCUUUCCAUAUGCAGCACAACAACUUGGUAGCAACCAACAGUUUAGGACAUGAAUAUAUGAAUCUAAUUCUUCUUAUAUUCAUUUUUCAUCUGCCACAAUAGUUCUACGAUAAAUUCACAAUCCAGCAGUUACUUAUAUUAACACUUGAUCCUCUUAUUUAACUAACAUCAAUAUAAUCCAAUUUUUCAUCCAUAAUUGGCAAGGAUAAUGAGAAAACAUACCAUGAGUAAAGCUUUGAGUUCAGUCAUAGUCAGAGGCAUUUUGGCAUCUGCAUCAUCUUUCAACUUCAGCAAAACUUGCAAAAAAUCCUUGCUUUCAUGGCCAACACCAGCUCCCAUCCCACCAUUUCUAUCAAUAUGCAGUCUUUUAUCAAUCAUGUUCUCAAAAAUCUUAUCAAAUCUCUUCGCCAACACCUUCAUCUUCUUUGUUACACCCUGCAAGUCAAACCUUUCCAAGCCUGGAUAAAAAUCGGAAAGAUUUGGAGUACUUAACAGUUCAGUCAUCUUAGUAACAACAUGCCUAAAUUCUGCUCCAAGACUAGCUCUUUCCUCACCCUUUACAGUGCCACCCCAUAACAUGCUUGUAAUCACAUUAAGCACAGUCAAGAACAUCUGUUCACCAAUAUUCACAGGUGUUCCCGCCUGGUCAUAAAAGUAAUUGAUAGUUUGUCUAAGCUCCCGCCGCCUUAGUUCAUAAACAGAAUCUAAAGUAGAACCACUAAGCAUUUCACGAACACAAACCUUCCUCAACAUACGCCAUUUCGGUCCAUAAGGAGUCCAAACUAUGUCUUUGCCACCAUAUGUAGCUUCUCUACCAGCAGCAGGCACAUCUCUGUUAGCAAAAAUGGUAUCUUGUUCCUUCAGCACCUCGCGAGCUAAGGCUGGCGAAGUAAUAAUAAUGCCAACUUUUUUACCAAGCCAGAGUCUACAAAUGGAGCCAUAAGUUUGGGAAAGAGAUGCAAAAUAGGUGUGAAGUUCAGGAUCGAGGGAAUGGAGAUUACCUACUAAAGGCAAAGCCUUAGGCCCUGGUGGCAAUGGGGGUUGUCCCUUAUUCGACUUAUUGAUGAAAAGCCGAAGAAACCAUAGUAAAGCUAAAAUACCAAGAGAAUAGGAGAAAAAUACACCCUUUUGCUCAAUAUUUGAUUCUUGCCCUGGCCAUGAGAAAGAAUCAAAUAGAGGUUUGAAGAACUCGAGAGACAUUAUUUGAGGAGCCUAAGAGGAAUAUGAAAAGUGGCAGAGCCAAUUUGGUGGGAAGCUCAAUGCUUUAACACAAUUUAAAACAAAAUGUUUUUUGCUGAAGGAAUGAGAGAUCUUGGAUCAAGACAGAAGGUAUUCUGCAGACCUAUAAUUCAAUCAAUAAAUUGUUCUUUAUACAGCAAUAAGUAAAUAUAAUUCGGCAUAAACAAUGUAUUAAAUUGUUUACUUUUUAUUUUUUUGCUUAGGUCACUAUAUAUCAACGCUAACUAUUUGAACUCAGAAGUUUUAACUGAGUUAAACUUUUUACUUCAUAUUGCAAGAUGCCAAACUUAACUUUUAUAUCUUGUUUUAUUUAAUAUGGAAAGAUACCAAGCUCAACAUUUGUAUCUUGUAUCUUUGGGUUUUAAAUAAAUGAAAAAGUCAAUGACCUUUGUUGGGUAGCUCAAAAGUAUCUUCAGAUUUUGAUACCUUUCAGAAAGAAUUGGUGCUUCUCCUUGUUCACAAGACAAAUAGGGAAAUAGUAUUAAACUAGGUAUAUAUUGUCUUCAAUGCCAGCACAAAUAUGCUCUUUCAGAUACAUUUUUGUUUACUUUAGGGAAAUUUCAGGACGGUGUAGGAUUUUUCACAUCUCAGGAAUAUUUUAAUCACAUCACUAUAGGUGGUAAUCAUUCGUCGUUAAUACCAAAAACUUGCAGCUACUUAGAAAUAUUUGUCCUCGAAUGUUUGGAAUAUAGUCGUUCUAGAGUCUUUGCCACUCUCUCUACCUCCUUAUGCCUCGAAAUUUGACAAACUCCUAAAUUUCUUAAAAUUUCGGUAGAAUCUCCUUAGUAAAUGAAACCAUGCCAAACUUCCAACCUGUUCAUAACAAAAAUCAAUACUAUGGGAACUUUUGAUCAACCCUUAAAGGUUGCACAUACCGUAAUCCUGAAAUAAGUAAGGAUAUCUUGCUUCUAUAUCUUCCUCUGAUUUCCAUGUAGCUAACUCGGAAUUAUAUGAUUAUGCCAUUACACCUAAUGGAGGCUAUGUCUUUCGUUCUCAGUCCACAUACUUGCCUAUCAAGGACGUUAAUAGGAGCCUCUAAUCAACCUUAGCUUUCGAUAUUGCCUGUCCAAAUAGGAAUUUUGACAAUUCUAAAGUAUCUUAAGCUUUGCUCUACCUGGUUCUAACCGAGCUAUGAGCGAUCCACAUUGUUGCCCGUACAAAAGCCUCAAAUGAAACCAUUUGGAUACAAUUGGAUAGAUGCUAUUAUAGGCAAACUUUGUCAAGUGGAUCCCAGUUACAGUGAACGCAUCUCAAUAUAUAGUUCAUCGUACAAAGACAGAAGCAUAAUCUCUACAAACACAUUUCAAUACUCAUAUAAAAACACUAGCAAAAGGCAGGAACAAGAGAUUGCAAACGUCAACGGACUCUUACGGAUAACUUACACAUGAAUUACAAUAUAAAGAUUUAUGAUGAAGCAUAAUAAUUACUGAAGUAUUGAUAUUUAUUGUUGUCUAUUUGGUAUGAGCAUUAAAACAAAGUAAUACAUGUAUUAUUAUAAUUCGAUUCAGUAUAUAAUAUUUAAGUAGUCAUGGAAAUUAGCCAUUUCACAUGUAUUAUUAUUUCAAAUUUGCUUUAGUAUACUAUUUUUAAGAUGAAAACUAGUCAUUUCACAUGGAACAGUGAAACUUUUGAGUUGAGUAUACUAUAUUUAAGUUGUUCAUAAUGUUAGAGUGGGUACAAAGUCCCACAUUGGUUGAGGAAUGGACUGGUAGUUUGCUUAUAUGGAUUUGGGUAAUCCUCACCUUCUGAGCUAGCGUUUGAGGUUGAGUUAGGCCCAAGGUCCAUUUUUUACAUGGUAUCAGAGUCAGGUCCAUCCCCGUUUUGGAGGCCCUGGGCGUGAGCGGGGGUGGUCCAUCCCCAUUUUGGGCUCCCGAUCCACGAGCCAGGCGCCAGUUGGGCCCUGGGCAUGAGCGGGUGUGUCAGGUCCAUUCUUGACACAUAAGACCCAAAUCUUUUAUCUUACUCAUAGAGAGUUGGAUUGGAUAAUCUUGGAAUAGGUACAGCCACCAGAGGCCUUUUCUUCAUCAAAACAAUACCAAAUUUCCCUGUAAGGUCUAACGUCUCUCCUUCGGGCAACUUGCAGUCGAGAGAAUGAAUAAAUGAAACCACUGAAUACAUGAACAUCCUCUCUGCCAUGGCUGUCCCCACACAAAUUCUUCUGCCAGAACCAAAUGGAAAAUAGUUGAAAUCAUUUCCUCUAUAAUCCCAUUUAAUCUCUCUGGAUGGAACUCGGUUUUUUCCAGAUUGAAGGAUCUGUCUGUAUGGCCCAUAUGUUUAUGAACACACGAGAUUCUUUAGGAACAGUGUAUCCUCCCUCAGUACCUGUCUAACUAGGACAAUGAGCAACCAUGAGUGGG
RNAcentral lists this long non-coding RNA (9201 nucleotides) under Capsicum annuum. RNAcentral describes it as "long non-coding RNA (CANN_LNC000111)". Lineage: Eukaryota; Viridiplantae; Streptophyta; Magnoliopsida; Solanales; Solanaceae. The record is from RNAcentral.